GCAGCAGCAGCAGCAGCAGCAGCAAAAGAGCCCUGGCGUCCGCACUGAAGGAAUAACCCGGUUCGAGACCGUUUUAACUGCCAUGGCUGAAAUGAUACGGAAUAUCUGGGGUUUCCAGUUUGGAAACAGCCCUGCAGCAUCAUCACUGGACUUACUGCAUGGAGAAGGGAGAAACACGUCAUGGUUUUCCACAUUCACUGAGGUCCUUCACCCCUAAUCACAGCGAAUGCAGAGAGACCACUGUAGUUUAACUGAAAGGCCAUUUUAAGAUGGGAUGACCAACUGGACAGACUUUACCCAAUAUAUUACUUCCAAGGAUGGAAUUACCCCAUUGGCCCAUCAAGUAACCUGUUUGUUUAUCUUGCUUCUGGAUUGGCAACUGGACAUGCCAUUGAUGUUUUAGGAAGCCAAGGUUUUCACAGCUAACUUAUUUAUUGUGGUACAGGUGAGCCAUCAUGUACAACUUAACUUGGCUAUUUGGUAAUUCAUUGGAACCCAUGGAGUAGUUAAUACAAUUUUCUAUAACACUUUUGAUCAUAUUCAUGCAAUUCCACAAGGAACCCUAAAGUUUCCAGAGGCCCAGGACAGCAGAGCUUUGCCCUCAACUCUUUAUAAUGUCACAACAAUACAAUCAUUCAAUAUGGAUGUUCUCAAGUCUGUUGGCAGUGACAUCAGCAACUAUCCAUCAGCAACUAUGCUAUGGCAAAUUCAACAGGAUGGGCAAUGGGUUAUUCUUUAUCAUCUCCCUCAGCCUUGAUUCCCUGUAUUAAACAACAAAGGUACCAAACUAGGAGAACAAGAAUGAAGUUCAUAAGAAAUUCAGAUAUCAGAGAAAAAUUACUGCUGUCAAAUUCUACACACAGAAAAUUCAUGCUUGUGUCUGCAAUAACAAGGACCCUGCUAUUUAGGAUAAACCUUCUUUUCAUCCAUCUUAAAUGGUCCUCAAAGCUGGUAACCCAUAAAUACAUAACACCAUUCAUAGUUACCUGCAAAUGGUUUAGCACAAAUGUCUUGAUUUCCUUUUUCAGGGUGGUAACAGUAUUGUCUGCGAUCCAUUAUUAGUUUCCCAAAUCUAUAGUAUUUUGCUAGCAGCAAAGGCAGACUAAUCCACAGCAAAAUCCACAGGUAGUUAUCAGAUUAAAGUGUAUCUAAUACUUACUUAGACCAUCCACUGUACAAUAUACCUUGUUUGCAAGGGUUUUUUAUUUAUUACCCAUAAAAAGACAUCCACAUAAGUUUAUAUUCUUUAAACAUACAAUAUAAGCUAUCAAAUCAAUACAGCUUUUCAAUGCUCAUAUAGGCGGUUUACAGACCGCCCUUUUGGGGCGGCCUGUUCCCGCCCCUUUCCCCGCCGGAUCGGAGCCUCAGCUGCCAGAGCGGCAGCCUCUGAGGCCACGAUCUGCCGCU
Molecule: long non-coding RNA, 1407 nt
Organism: Sceloporus undulatus (fence lizard)
Lineage: Eukaryota; Metazoa; Chordata; Lepidosauria; Squamata; Phrynosomatidae
Exons: 3
Source: RefSeq, a predicted model, not a curated record